CCUACGGGAGUCAGCAGUGGGGAAUAUUGCACAAUGGGGGAAACCCUGAUGCAGCGACGCCGCGUGAGUGAAGAAGUAUCUCGGUACGUAAAGCUCUAUCAGCAGGGAAGAAAAUGACGGUACCUGACUAAGAAGCCCCGGCUAACUACGUGCCAGCAGCCGCGGUAAUACGUAGGGGGCAAGCGUUAUCCGGAUUUACUGGGUGUAAAGGGAGCGUAGACGGCUAAUCAAGUCAGAAGUGAAAACCCAGGGCUGAACCUUGGGAAUGCUUUUGAAACUGAGUAGCGAGAGUGCAGGAGAGGUAAGCGGAAUUCCUAGUGUAGCGGUGAAAUGCGUAGAUAUUAGGAGGAACACCAGUGGCGAAGGCGGCUUACUGGACUGUAACUGACGUUGAGGCUCGAAAGCGCGGGGAGCAAACAGGAUUAGAUACCCGGGUAGUC
RNAcentral lists this ribosomal RNA (440 nucleotides) under uncultured bacterium. RNAcentral's name for it is "partial 16S ribosomal RNA". It matches the Rfam family "Bacterial small subunit ribosomal RNA", at positions 338 to 795 of the family's 1533-position model. The record is from RNAcentral.